CCCUGGGUAGUGCAACUGGUUAACGUGCUCGGCUCCUAACUGAGAGGUUGGUGGUUCGAGUUCACCCAGAGGCA
This 74-nucleotide transfer RNA is filed under the name Loxodonta africana (African savanna elephant). It matches the Rfam family "tRNA". Rfam says of the family: Transfer RNA (tRNA) molecules are approximately 80 nucleotides in length. Their secondary structure includes four short double-helical elements and three loops (D, anti-codon, and T loops). Lineage: Eukaryota; Metazoa; Chordata; Mammalia; Proboscidea; Elephantidae. The record is from Rfam by way of RNAcentral.